Molecule: non-coding RNA, 909 nt
Organism: Myodes glareolus (Bank vole)
Lineage: Eukaryota; Metazoa; Chordata; Mammalia; Rodentia; Cricetidae
Source: RefSeq, a predicted model, not a curated record
CCUGUAGCCCUGGCCUGAGCUGGCCCACUGCCAGACCUUCACUGGCAUAAUGGAUUGAAAUUCUCCUGAAAUGUGAGCCGAGGAAGCAAGAAUCUUCCCUCAUCAGUGACAAUGCAGAUGCCAAUAUUAGGCUCUUGAACUUCCUAGUCUCCAGAACUAAGAGUUGAGAAACUUCGUUUCCAAGUUUCCAGUAUUGGAUGCUGAAUUCCUUCUGCCUGGAGUGAAGGGGAAAGGCCACGGCCUGUGAGUCAGCCAUGUGCACCUGGUGAUCCUGGCACAAAGGAAGUGGACUCCAGAAUGCACUUGUUUCAGAACUGGUUGGUUCUGGCUCAGAUAUCUGCUUGUUGGAAGUGAGAUAAAGUCAGCGUCUUCCUCAUUCCCUGAGUCUGGACAUCCUAAGUGCGGUCAUUUACACAGAGUGCCUGGCUUCAGGCUUCCUGUCUAGGGCAGAGAUGACUACCCUAACAACAGCCUUUAAUGACCAUCUGCAGCCAGCAGGAUCCCCGAGGAAAGGCAGAAGGUUCGGGGCACGGAAGCGUGACAACUGCUGAUGUCACAAUGUCUCUAAUUCACUUUGGAUGCCUGACUACUGGACCACCUCAGGGCAGCAGCAAGACCAUGGCUGGCUGCAACAGAUAAAGGACAACAGGGGACCUGGAAUCCAGAGUUCAGGGGACUGCAGGAGACAAAGAAUAAUCCCUGGGCCAGGAAGCAGCCAAGCGAUCCAGACAAAGAUGUGGAACUCCAGAAACCUCUCGGGUACCAUUGACCGGGCCCUCCGCCCAAGCCAGACACUUGUGUUGACAAAGAGGGACGGCUAGGCACAGACUCAAAGGCACAUAUCCAAAUUCUAGGGGUCGUGCCCUUUGCAGGACAAUUCUCCCACUUGGUAAAAAAGAGUUCAAGUUC